AAAAAAUCAAGAUUAUCUACUGGACAAAAAAAAAAUUUUACCAUAUGGUGUUGGACCAGUUAUUGACUGUGAAAUUGACGAUGAAGAUAAUGAACCCGAUUAUUCAACAUAUGCACGCAAAAGACCAAAAAAAAUUAAAACUCGCC
Molecule: long non-coding RNA, 146 nt
Organism: Melanaphis sacchari
Lineage: Eukaryota; Metazoa; Arthropoda; Insecta; Hemiptera; Aphididae
Exons: 3
Source: RefSeq, a predicted model, not a curated record